GCCAGAGUGCUCUGUUCCCUCUGAUUUCAUGGUGCUGCUUGCUGAGUCUGGAGCUGGAAAACCAAAUUCAGCACAGUCUCUCUGCUACCUUGGGAUGAACAUAUAGAAGAAGGAAGAGAACCCUCCUUACCAGGAGGCCAUAGAGGUGAGCUAAAGGAGAGGAAUUAAAGACACAGAGGCUACAUGCAUACCUCGUUAUUCGAGUCAAUCGGCAGAACACUAACUUGCAAGACACUGAGUCAGCCCUUAGCCAUCUGGACACCAGCAACCAGGCUGCAAUUUUGGACUGCAGUUUUCUGUCAGAUGACAUACGAAUCACCCAUAAGACCAGGUUUGAGAUAACCAUCACGGAACAAACCAGACCCCAGGAAGCGUUCUCCCAGACGAGUGGCAUGACUAACCACCCCCUUUCCUAUGUUCUG
Molecule: long non-coding RNA, 422 nt
Organism: Hipposideros armiger (great roundleaf bat)
Lineage: Eukaryota; Metazoa; Chordata; Mammalia; Chiroptera; Hipposideridae
Exons: 3
Source: RefSeq, a predicted model, not a curated record